AAGAAAACCGCGUGCACGACCUCCUCCGCCUCCUCCCGCGCCUUUCGCCUCCCGCAACCGUGCCCUUCGCUGCAGCCGAGGCAGACGAGCCCCAUGAAGGGGAGGUCCCUCCAGGGACGGUGCAGUCGGCGAGCGCUGCGUAGGCGUCGGCGAGGACGUGGACGAGGGAGGUGGCCCUGUUGUGUGCGAUGGGAGGCAGAUGCCGACGGCGCUGGCGACGAGGAUUGAUGCCGACGGCGCUUGACGGCCCUGCCCUGCCGCCGCCGUCGGCGGUGGCUUGGCACCCCAGGACACGGCCUGGGUGACCGGCGGUGCUGGGUGCGCCCAGAAGGAGCAGGUGUUAUUGCCUCACCGGUCGUCGCUGCCCGGCACGCGGGGGGCGGCGCUGGGGACUGUCGAGUCACGGCGGCCGCCCCGCUUGGAGAAGCUGCAUGGUAGUCGUUGCGCCAUGCUCAUCUGAUGCCUAGACGACAAGGAGCACCUUGCCAACAUCCCUAAGACAGGCGUCACUAGCGGAUGCAGCAGUGCAACGUAACUCCUCCUCUGAACUCUGCUCUUCUUCCUCCUGUGCUUUGCUGAUUACACUCACUCUCUAAUCUCUCUCUGAUAUGUGGGUACAGCUUGAGCUUCAGUGAGGUGUAGUCUAUGAUUGUGGAAGUAAAAACAAGGGGAAUGUUGGCGUUCUUGGAAAGAAUUUGUUAGUCCAAAGAAAGAAAACGAGAGAAGAAAAGAAACUGAAAAAGGAAUGUAAUAUGUUUGUGUAUCUGCUGUAUAUGCAGGAAAGAAUUCAGUGAUGGUGUUUGGACUCUGCAGAAAUGCUUCUUAGUACAAAAGAAUCAAAGAAUCUUGUGCGGUAACGCGAUGGCGCUGGGCACAAGAAACGUUGUCUUGAGCUGUGUCUCCACAGCCAUGUCACGGCAGACCCAUCCGUCUCCGUGCCCGGGCGCUCUCCCCCGCUCCAGCGCCGCAAUCCGGUCCGAAUCAAUACCUUCCUCCGUCGUCGAUCUGCGGCCCCUUCAUGCUUCAUGCCCGUGGUGUGCUCGACAUGCCGCAUCGACACGCUGCACUGUGCCUAGCGUUCUGAUGGGAUAUGGGAAGAGAUGGGUGAAUGACCUAUAGGAUUUAAUAGCCCGUGCUCCCUUGCUAUCUGCCUGCAACACAAGCUCAUACUCUACUACAGGGAGGCUGCGGUCAUACGAGGACAUCAUCAAGAUCUUCGAUCGGUGCAACCAACUGAUUGAUGUUGCUGUUUGGAUGGCCUGUAGUUCGAGUCAUUCUGGGUUUUCUACUGUUAUACCUCGCAUCUAGAAGAUCUUUGGUGGGUUUCAUAAUCGUAAGGUCAAAUGGCAUUAUACAAAUUGAGUGCUAUUACCAUGCAUGUGACUGUUCUGUUUGAAGUAAGUCAAACUCUAUUAGGUACUCCCUCCAUUCCACAAUGUAGUGCUUCCUCUAUCCUCGUGCUUCAAGUUUGACCGUAAAUUUAACUAUCAAGACUAAUUGCGGCGGGAGCAAAAAUUAUAUCAGUGAAUUCGUAUUCGAAAGAAGUUUUCAAUUAUACAAUUUUUUCUCCUGCCGCAGUUGGUCUCAUUGGUUAAAUUUAUAGUCAAAGUUGGACCUCGGGAAGCGUAGGCGCACUAUAUUUUGGAAUGAAGGGAAUAUGUGAUGUUUCCAAAUUGAAUAAGUAGAAGUGCACAUCUGACAUAUAUCUCGAAUUAAUGUUUCUAGAAAUAAUGAGUUAAUUUUAUGAACACCGAUGGGCAAACGUUUUAUCUUUAUUUGAUGAUCCAGAGAGAGGUCAACUUCCAUUUUUACUGUCAUUAACCUUUUAUUGCCAUCUUGAUAAGCACAUGGUGAAUUAUGUACUAAGUGUAUAUUUCAUGCUUGUUAUAAGGUCUCAGAUCAAUGUUGAUGCUCUUGCUUCUCCUUGUAUUUCUCAUAUAUUAGAAGCUGCUGGAAACAUUUAUAGUUUCCCUGGCAUGUUUAGCAUGUAGUUAUUUCCCUUAUUUAAAUGCAGAUGAAAAAUAAUAAUCUAGAUGCAUCUAUUUCUCUUUUUGGACCAGGGGAGUGUUCCCCGUUUGAAUAAUAAACACCUAGAGUGGCAGUAUUGCUAACGGUGAAAUGCAUUUAAAAUAUCUGUAGGUUGUACCAGCUUGAAGAAAUAUUCUAACUGAAAAUAUCUGCAUAGGUUAUACGGGCCAGAGUAUCCAUUGUCGACGCCAUCUUCGCUGUUGUACCCAUAUUUGGGGCCAACCAAACUGUGUAGCCGUCUGUCAUCUUGGAAGUCUCCAGACGAGCUCGUGCCCAAGAAGCUCCGGUGUCAGGAUAGAACGGUAAUACAUGCUUGUGCUUUAAAUAUAUGUUUAAACCAUAAAAUUGAUUUGUUCCUUUCAAUGAUAUGUCAACAUGCAUUUCCAAGUAUAUGCACUACAUGUUGCUAUCAAAUGACUCACUUCUAAUGCAUUGCUUCUUAGCUGAAUAUAUGUUUGUUUGUUAUACUUUUUUCCUUAGAAACUAUUGUUCUCAAGUGGAGAGUGGAGACACAAUUGUAAAGGUCAUCCCUUGUAAUCUCAACUGAAAUAAGCGGAUGUCUAGCUGAUGUUGGCAUACAUGGAAAUUCGUCUUGUCUUUUAUUGGUUAACACCCAAUAGGCUUCACCAAAUUGUUUUGAAUUUUGCUUUUAUACAUCAACUAGAUGCUUGUCAUUAUAUUUAAUUGGCAACAUCAUGUAAACCUGUGUACAAAAAAAAUCUUGGAAAACUCAGGUGGCAGUUAGCUAUGAAGUAUAUCCAUUUUAUUACAACUUGCUUAUGAUGUACUAUACUUGUCCAACACAAAACUCAAACUCACAACACAGGUACCUAAAUCAUAUUUGUAAAUCAACAUCAGAAAAGAAAAGGAAAAAACAGUUGGUUCCAACGAACAGGUCGAGCAGCUCACGCCGCUUGCAACUAUUUCUUUGGGUACAUUUUCAUGCUUCAUCAGGAUAGAGGGAGGCAUCACCAUUCACCAAGUCUAUGUAUCUUUCCCAAGCCAGGCACAGAUGAAGUCUCGUCUUUUUUUUUAGAAACGAUGUCUCAUCUUGUUGAUGCACGUGAAUUUCAUGUCCAUGCUUACUAGUAAAUAUAAGAGCGUUUAGAUAACUACUUUAGUGAUCUAAAUGCUCUUAUAUUUGUUUACGGAGGGAGUACAUAUGAAUGAUAUUGAUAGAUGCUUGCUUGAUUGGGAUGUGCACAACAACGUUCCAUGUUGAUUUGUCAGCAUUCUUAUCAAUUAGGAAAUCUCCAUAACCCAAAAAAACAGAGUUAGAACAACUUUGAGCAACCUGCCGUUUAGUUAUCACAGUUGCAACUUGCAUGAAACCAUAUGCUCAACAGAACCAGAUUAUCCUACAACUAAAACUCCAACAUCAUAGUAAUUCUCUGGGUAAAUUUUGAUCAAACAUUUCACAAUACUAUGAGUAGUUGCCACAGUUCAGGAUAGUGUGACACUUACCUGUCAAUAGAAUAACACCAAAAGUAUAGUCCGAUAAUUAAGAUUCAGGUUAUUCCAAGAAUAGCACAUGAACUAGAAGUCUAACAUCAUGCACAUUGGUCAACUAAUAAAACAUAUAUAUGGCUAUAAGCCUAUUGCCACCAAUGCUUCAUUGAGUUUCAUCCUUGUUAUGGCCACAUUGGUUUGCCCCAUACAUAAAAACUUGCAUACUCUGAAACACUAAGAAUAUAAAA
Molecule: long non-coding RNA, 3725 nt
Organism: Triticum aestivum (bread wheat)
Lineage: Eukaryota; Viridiplantae; Streptophyta; Magnoliopsida; Poales; Poaceae
Exons: 2
Source: RefSeq, a predicted model, not a curated record